AUCCAACCCAUUCAUCGACGCCAGUUCGUUAACUCCUAACGGAUUUACCCAAACGAAGGUCACCUGUGUGGAAGUCUGCCGUCACUCAUCUGCCGUCCUGAACCGAGCUCGGAGUCCUCCAGCCGCGGUGUUCCCUCCAGCCUCGCCACGAGCCACGUCCGGAUUCCCUCCUGUCAAAGGAUUUAUUCUCUUCAACUUUUCCUGUGAUUAAACUCACUUACCAAGUUACUUACCCGACUGAUCAUUCUGAGUUCCAGCAUCUGGGUCUGUCUCGCCUGAAAACCAUGACA
This is a long non-coding RNA of Oryzias latipes (Japanese medaka), 290 nucleotides long. RefSeq lists it as uncharacterized. The record is from RefSeq and is a predicted model, not a curated record. NCBI's taxonomy places the organism in Eukaryota, Metazoa, Chordata, Actinopteri, Beloniformes, Adrianichthyidae.